This is a long non-coding RNA of Ceratitis capitata (Mediterranean fruit fly), 882 nucleotides long. RefSeq lists it as uncharacterized. The record is from RefSeq and is a predicted model, not a curated record. NCBI's taxonomy places the organism in Eukaryota, Metazoa, Arthropoda, Insecta, Diptera, Tephritidae. The transcript has 5 exons.
GUCGCCUGAGAGUUAAAUUUGAAAAAAAUUUAUCCCUUGAAAAAUUAAAAAUAUCUCCGCUUAUGCAUUGUCACACAGAAUAACAAAAAUGGAAUUCAACAAUUAACGUUUAACUCAAGACAUGCUUCUCACAAUUUUCAAUUGUUGAUUUGUAUUUGCCGAAUGCAGGUGCCACCAACAAAAAAAACUACAAAGGGACUCGAAAUUAAGUUGUGUCUCAUGUGCAGCUGACGUAGCGCUAUGAGAGUGUAUAUAUGUAUUUGUAUACAAGUAUAUGAACACACAUAUUUGAUUCGGAAGAUGACGGCUCGAGCAAAAGAAAAAUUAACAUACAUACGAGUAGUUGGUUUUUAUAAAAGGUCCAUGUUUUAAGUUAUUGAAACUUCAAUAUAUAUAAAAACUUACGCACAGAUAUCUUAUAUUUCCAAUGAAUGCUUGUUUACAUAUGGAUGUGUGAGUGAGAGCAUUCGUCCAACCGAGAAAAUGAAACGUAAAACAGUCAAACAUCAGACCCUCAAUAACGAGUUCCCAACGCUUGCGACAGCUCACUGAACUCCGUGGGCUCAUGCUGCGUCGAUAAUUAAAAGUAAUAAAUAACUUUAAUGGCAGCCGCGAUGUAAAUUGUCUGUAACAUAUUUCAUUGGCUUAGAAUGUUUACAUUUGAACGUAUACUAAAGUCUCCAUUUUCAAUUUGAUAUAAAAUUGAACACGGGUGUGGAAUGGAGAAACGGUUACGAGGAGAUGUUAACAAUAUUGAAUUUUAAGACAAACGAUAAAAGCCGAUUUCGAGUAUAAAAAGUAUUCUCCUAACUUCAUCCCACUUAACCACAUCCUUAAAGCACUUAAAAUGAAUUAACAUAGAUGAAAAAUUCUAUAUUUUGA